RNAcentral lists this ribosomal RNA (446 nucleotides) under uncultured bacterium. RNAcentral's name for it is "partial 16S ribosomal RNA". It matches the Rfam family "Bacterial small subunit ribosomal RNA", at positions 338 to 795 of the family's 1533-position model. The record is from RNAcentral.
CCUACGGGAGGCAGCAGUCGAGAAUCAUUCACAAUGGGGGAAACCCUGAUGGUGCGACGCCGCGUGGGGGAAUGAAGGUCUUCGGAUUGUAAACCCCUGUCAUGUGGGAGCAAAUUAAAAAGAUAGUACCACAAGAGGAAGAGACGGCUAACUCUGUGCCAGCAGCCGCGGUAAUACAGAGGUCUCAAGCGUUGUUCGGAAUCACUGGGCGUAAAGUGUGCGUAGGCUGUUUCGUAAGUCGUGUGUGAAAGGCGCGGGCUCAACCCGCGGACGGCACAUGAUACUGCGAGACUAGAGUAAUGGAGGGGGAACCGGAAUGCUCGGUGUAGCAGUGAAAUGCGUAGAUAUCGAGAGGAACACUCGUGGCGAAGGCGGGUUCCUGGACAUUAACUGACGCUGAGGCACGAAGGCCAGGGGAGCGAAAGGGAUUAGAUACCCCAGUAGUC